UACGUAGGGGGCUAGCGUUAUCCGGAAUUACUGGGCGUAAAGGGUGCGUAGGUGGUUUCUUAAGUCAGAGGUGAAAGGCUACAGCUCAACCGUAGUAAGCCUUUGAAACUGGGAAACUUGAGUGCAGGAGAGGAGAGUGGAAUUCCUAGUGUAGCGGUGAAAUGCGUAGAUAUUAGGAGGAACACCAGUUGCGAAGGCGGCUCUCUGGACUGUAACUGACACUGAGGCACGAAAGCGUGGGGAGCAAACAGGAUUAGAUACCCUGGUAGUCCCUGA
Molecule: ribosomal RNA, 276 nt
Filed under: uncultured prokaryote
Description: partial 16S ribosomal RNA
Rfam family: Bacterial small subunit ribosomal RNA
Source: RNAcentral